Molecule: ribosomal RNA, 1064 nt
Filed under: Chaetoceros affinis
Lineage: Eukaryota; Bacillariophyta; Thalassiosirophyceae; Chaetocerotales; Chaetocerotaceae
Description: partial Bacterial large subunit ribosomal RNA
Rfam family: Bacterial large subunit ribosomal RNA
Source: RNAcentral
AGUGGGAAACGAUGUGGGAAGGCUCAGACAGCUAGGAGGUUGGCUUAGAAGCAGCCAUCCUUUAAAGAAAGCGUAAUAGCUCACUAGUCGAGUCGGCCUGCGCGGAAGAUGUAACGGGGCUCAAACCAUACACCGAAGCUACGGGUAUCAUCUUCGGAUGAUGCGGUAGAGGAGCGUUCUGUAAGCCUGUGAAGGUGAGUUGAGAAGCUUGCUGGAGGUAUCAGAAGUGCGAAUGCUGACAUGAGUAACGACAAAGGGGGUGAAAAACCCCCUCGCCGGAAGACCAAGGUUUCCUGCCCCAUGCUAAUCAGGGCAGGGUUAGUCGGCCCCUAAGGUGAGGCUGAAAAGCGUAAUCGAUGGGAAACGGGUUAAUAUUCCCGUACUUGUUAUAACUGCGAUGGAGGGACGGAGUAGGCUAGGCGAUCGCGGCGUUGGUUGUCCGCGUUUAAGCUAGUAGGCUGAGGACUUAGGCAAAUCCGGGUCCUUAAGGCUGAGAGGUGAUGACGAGCUCUCUUUUGAGUGAAGUCGUUGAUGCCAUGCUUCCAAGAAAAUCUUCUAAGCUUCAGGUUAUAACGAACCGUACCCCAAACCGACACAGGUGGUCAGGUAGAGAAUACCAAGGCGCUUGAGAGAACUCGGGUGAAGGAACUAGGCAAAAUGGUACCGUAACUUCGGGAGAAGGUACGCCGGUUUUGGUGAUGGGACUUGCUCCCUAAGCUGAGGCUGGCCGAAGUGACCAGGUGGCUGCGACUGUUUAUCAAAAACAUAGCACUCUGCAAACACGAAAGUGGACGUAUAGGGUGUGACGCCUGCCCGGUGCCGGAAGGUUAAUUGAUGGGGUUAGCGUAAGCGAAGCUCUUGAUCGAAGCCCCGGUAAACGGCGGCCGUAACAAUAACGGUCCUAAGGUAGCGAAAUUCCUUGUCGGGUAAGUUCCGACCUGCACGAAUGGCGUAACGAUCUCCCCGCUGUCUCAAAUGUGGACUCAGCGAAAUUGAAUUGUCUGUGAAGAUGCAGACUUCCCGCGGUUAGACGGAAAGACCCCAUGCACCUUUACUCCAACUUC